GUCUCUUUGAAGAUUUAAUAAUAAAGAGUUUGGCCUGCUCAGUGAGAUUUUUAACAGCUGCGGUAUUAUAACUGUACUAAGGUAGCAUAAUAAUUUGCCUUAUAAAUUGAGGCUAGAAUGAAUGGUUUGACGAAAAUUGUACUGUCUCUAUUUUAAUUAAUAGAAAUUAAUUUUUAUAGUGAAAAAGCUUAAAUAGUUUAAAGGGACGAGAAGACCCUAUUGAGCUUUAUAUUAGUUAUAAUAAAAUAUAAUUUAUUAAAUUAAAUUAAUGUUGUUAUUAUGUUUAAUUUUGAUUGGGGUGAUCAAGGAAUAAGAUAGAUGUUAUUUAACUUCCUUAAAAGAAAAUUUUUUUAGAAUAAUUAACCAAUGAUAUUGCUUAUAUGAUAAGUUACCAUAGGGAUAACAGCGUAAUUUUUUUGGAGAGUUCAUAUUAAAAAAAGAGAUUGCGACCUCGAUGUUGGAUUAAAAUAACCAUAAGGUGAAGAGGCUUUAUAUGGUAAAUCUGUUCGAUUUUUAAAAUUUU
This 523-nucleotide ribosomal RNA is filed under the name Bathypolypus sp. A-JMS-2004. RNAcentral's name for it is "Benthoctopus sp. A-JMS-2004 partial 16S ribosomal RNA". It matches the Rfam family "Bacterial large subunit ribosomal RNA", at positions 1819 to 2597 of the family's 2925-position model. Lineage: Eukaryota; Metazoa; Mollusca; Cephalopoda; Octopoda; Octopodidae. RNAcentral also lists the same sequence under 4 other names. The record is from RNAcentral.